ACCAACAAAUCUGUCACGUCUUCAAGCGUAGAGUCUCUCCCCAGGCUCUUCUGCUUCAUCUUCUCGAUAGUACUGUCAAAUAGUUGGACCGCCUAUGGAUAGUCCAAACUAUAAUGGUGGUCCAUGAUUACAACCAAAUAACAAAUGGUCCAUUUGGAUUUUAAACCGAUCUCACCCGUGGACAAUUUGUUCCUGCCCAAAUGGGUGGGUUUCUAUCUGCCCAAACCAUUAAAAACUUUAGAGUUUUGUUUUGGGAAAAAAUCAAAAAUCAGACAGUUCUCGCGAUUUUGGCAUUUCUCCUUCGUCUCUAUUCUAGAUUCUGAGCUUUUCUCCUCCAUAGCUUGAUCUGUGUUUGUGGGUUCUUCAAUCAUCACUUCCACAGGUAAUUUUCUCCUUCAUGGCUUGAUCUUUUCUCUUUCAAGUCUAGCUUCGCUUCCUCUGAUAGAUACAAACCGAGCCCACAUAGAGCGUGAUUUGGGGAGAAAGAGGAAAGUGAUCAGAACAGGAAAGUGUUUUCUCUUCGCAUCCGUAACUCAAGUCCUACGCAUCUACAGAAACUUCAUUGACACGCUUCCGGUUAACAAUGAACUUUGAUACUCCAAACCUGGUUGAUGAAGAAGAUGACUUUUAUCUUGAAAAUGCAGACAUGGAACAUGAAGACUUUGUUAUGUUUAACUUAGACAUUACUUGUUUUACAAAAAAUGAUAAUUUACAUAUUUUAUAAAAAAUAAUUAAUACAAAUAAAUAAAUUACAGAUUUUAUAAAAUUUAAAUAAGUACAAUAAAUAAAUUACAGAUUUUAUGAAAUUUAAAGAUAUAAAAAUCAUUGUGAACAAUAUAAAUAUGAAACAUAUAAAUUAAAUACAAAUAAAAAUAAAAAUUUACUCAAAAAGUAUUAUUGAGUGUCCAAGGGCUUAACCAUUUGGACAUGGUUUGGUCUUGGGCAUUUUUUAAACCAUUGUCCAAUAUAGACCAUCCAAUACUGCCCAUAACUGUCCAUUUGGUCAAGCCCAAAUGGAUUUUUGACGGCCCAUUUAACAGUUUUACUCCUCUAGUGUCUGAUUUUUUUGUCUGUUACCUUCUCAAUUAAUACGAUCUUGAAGCUACUCUUGAAUGUUUUGUUCCACUUUUUCCCUUGAUAAUUCUCCUAUUAAAACUUUAUAUCUAAACCUAAAUCCACCGAUCUCCGGUCGCCCACCAGAGCUUCCAUUUUUGUUAGUCCAUUUCUGAGAGAAAAAACAUUGCUAGAGGUGGACUUUUGGGUUAGAGAUACUCUUCGCUGAUGAACAGCCGAUUGAUUUUACUCUAACCAGAAGACACUGAUGCAAAGUUUCAUCACCUCUACUCUUGCUCCAACAUACCUGCCUCAUCUCAAGGAACACUUGAAAUGGUCUGAAAGCUGUGUUCUAACGGUGUUAGUGGCUGAAAAUCAGCAGACCUGCUGCUGAUAGAGUUUUCUCCUCUGAAACUGUGGGAAUUACUGUUGUGGUUGGCUUGGUAGUUUCUUUCUUUUUCUUUUGACCAAAAAAGUAGUUUCUAACUGCGGUGAUUCAAGGAUGGUUUUUAUCUAUAAUGUAACAGCUGAUCUGAGGGUUGCUUGAGUGUUUAUUCUGGCGACAUUGUAUUUAUUUAUUCUAAUCAGAUACAAAAUAAUAUAUAUGUAAAAUUUGUUCAUCAACA
Molecule: long non-coding RNA, 1679 nt
Organism: Raphanus sativus (radish)
Lineage: Eukaryota; Viridiplantae; Streptophyta; Magnoliopsida; Brassicales; Brassicaceae
Exons: 5
Source: RefSeq, a predicted model, not a curated record